This is a long non-coding RNA of Cebus imitator (Panamanian white-faced capuchin), 322 nucleotides long. RefSeq lists it as uncharacterized. NCBI's taxonomy places the organism in Eukaryota, Metazoa, Chordata, Mammalia, Primates, Cebidae. The transcript has 2 exons. The record is from RefSeq and is a predicted model, not a curated record.
CUUAGCUCAGAAUGGGUCCCACACAGACAUAAGACUUGGUCUGUGUUUUUCCAGGCGUUCUUGCAGUCUCUAGCCAUCCCCCAUCCUGUGCUUGGGGCCCACCAGAUGUCCCAAGGAACUCCAGGACUCUAACCUAUGGGAUCAUCUAUGGUACUUGUGGUUGAGACCCAGUUCCAGGAGAGCAGCAUGGUACAACAAGAAGACAGCAAUCUGCAAACCAGAAAGUGGACCCUCACCAAGAACUAGAUGAUGAUGGUGCCCUGGCCUCAAACUUUCAGCUUCCCAGAACUGUGAGAAAUAAAUUUCUGUUGUUUAUAAGUUA